UCCUCCGUGGCGCAAUUGGCUAGCGCGUCUGACUGUUACUUUGCAGUGAUCAGGAGGUUCGUGGUAAGUAAAUCGAGCUCAGACCAUACCUCUCACAUGUGGUUAAUUUAUCCCAGGUUCGAGCCCACGCGGGGGAG
Non-coding RNA from Lentithecium fluviatile CBS 122367, 137 nucleotides. The record is from the annotation of a GenBank genome assembly. NCBI's taxonomy places the organism in Eukaryota, Fungi, Ascomycota, Dothideomycetes, Pleosporales, Lentitheciaceae.